Long non-coding RNA from Malus domestica (apple), 468 nucleotides. RefSeq lists it as uncharacterized. Lineage: Eukaryota; Viridiplantae; Streptophyta; Magnoliopsida; Rosales; Rosaceae. The record is from RefSeq and is a predicted model, not a curated record.
AUUAAAAUUACAAAUGAUGUCAUUAUCAAUUAAAACACCAAACUUUUCCAUCUCCCUAAUUGUAAAUUGCGCAGCAGCCAUAAAGCAGUCUCAGACUUCAACCUCCUCACCUCCCACCUUCAACCUCCAUCACCUUCCACCACCUUCAUCAUCCGAGUAACGAUUCCGACGAACAAUUCGCAUUUGCGACUAAAAAAUCACGAUCAAGUUGAAACAUGUCCCAAAAAAAAGUUAAAGGGAUACAUAAACAAGUGAAAGAGAAAAUGAUGGAUAUUAUUGAUUUGCACUCGGGAGGAUAUUACUGAUUUUCACAAUGGAAAGUGUUGUUAGUUUUAUGUAGCCUCUCAUGGAAAAUUUGGUUCUAGUUAGGCCGUUUUGUGAUCUAUAUUUUAUAAGCCAUAUAUAUCUCUACUGGCCAUAUAUAUGGUUCUAAUUAAUAUGAAAAAGAUUUCCAUGGGGUCAGCCUUA